This 492-nucleotide ribosomal RNA is filed under the name uncultured bacterium. RNAcentral's name for it is "partial 16S ribosomal RNA". It matches the Rfam family "Bacterial small subunit ribosomal RNA", at positions 29 to 507 of the family's 1533-position model. The record is from RNAcentral.
AGUGAACGCUGGCGGUAGGCCUAACACAUGCAAGUCGAACGGCAGCACAGUAAGAGCUUGCUCUUACGGGUGGCGAGUGGCGGACGGGUGAGGAAUACAUCGGAAUCUACUUUUUCGGGGGGGAUAACGUAGGGAAACUUACGCUAAUACCGCAUACGACCUACGGGUGAAAGCAGGGGAUCUUCGGACCUUGCGCGAUUGAAUGAGCCGAUGUCGGAUUAGCUAGUUGGCGGGGUAAAGGCCCACCAAGGCGACGAUCCGUAGCUGGUCUGAGAGGAUGAUCAGCCACACUGGAACUGAGACACGGUCCAGACUCCUACGGGGGGCAGCAGUGGGGAAUAUUGGACAAUGGGCGCAAGCCUGCUCCAGCCAUACCGCGUGGGUGAAGAAGGCCUUCGGUUUGUAAAGCCCUUUUGUUGGGAAAGAAAAGCAGCAGGUUAAUACCCCGCUGUUCUGACGGUACCCAAAGAAUAAGCACCGGCUAACUUCGUG